CGAAUUGACUGGCUCGAUUGACGCUGGCGGCAGGCCUAACACAUGCAAGUCGAGCGGCAGCGGGAAAGUAGCUUGCUACUUUUGCCGGCGAGCGGCGGACGGGUGAGUAAUGCCUGGGGAUCUGCCCAGUCGAGGGGGAUAACUACUGGAAACGGUAGCUAAUACCGCAUACGCCCUACGGGGGAAAGCAGGGGACCUUCGGGCCUUGCGCGAUUGGAUGAACCCAGGUGGGAUUAGCUAGUUGGUGAGGUAACGGCUCACCAAGGCGACGAUCCCUAGCUGGUCUGAGAGGAUGAUCAGCCACACUGGAACUGAGACACGGUCCAGACUCCUACGGGAGGCAGCAGUGGGGAAUAUUGCACAAUGGGGGAAACCCUGAUGCAGCCAUGCCGCGUGUGUGAAGAAGGCCUUCGGGUUGUAAAGCACUUUCAGCGAGGAGGAAAGGUCAGUAGCUAAUAUCUGCUGGCUGUGACGUUACUCGCAGAAGAAGCACCGGCUAACUCCGUGCCAGCCGCCGCGGUAAUACGUCGUGACUGGAAA
Molecule: ribosomal RNA, 540 nt
Filed under: Aeromonas sp. L57
Lineage: Bacteria; Pseudomonadati; Pseudomonadota; Gammaproteobacteria; Aeromonadales; Aeromonadaceae
Description: bacterial SSU rRNA
Rfam family: Bacterial small subunit ribosomal RNA
Source: RNAcentral